Molecule: long non-coding RNA, 646 nt
Organism: Culicoides brevitarsis
Lineage: Eukaryota; Metazoa; Arthropoda; Insecta; Diptera; Ceratopogonidae
Exons: 3
Source: RefSeq, a predicted model, not a curated record
CUCACACCGUCGACAUCUUAACUCCUGUGGAAAUUCCAAAAACAAAAUCAAAAAAUGUGGUUUUCGUGCUGUUUGAACUAUUUUUGUCCCAUCAGCCCGCGCUUUGGAGUCAUCAAUCUCGGAAUAUGUAGCUUGAUUUUUCGAUUUUUGCGAAGUGCUUAUUUUCCGAUUUGGCGUUUGAAUUAUUAUGAUCGAAACACUUUUUCCGGCUUUCAAUUAAUUUUCGAUCUCGUAUUCAUGACUGUGCUUGGUAGUGUUGCCGAUGGAUUGUUGAUUUUUGGCGCAAUUAAAAAAAUACGUGAAAAUGUGAAAAUUUCCUUAUAUCUCAGCAGCAUUGUGUUUUUGUAUGAAAUUGUUUCUUAUAUUACUUUCUACUUUUUGUGUCUGCAUUAUUGUUAUCUCUAUUUUGAAAUUCCGCUGAUUCAAGUUUUCAACACUAUCUACUUAUUUAUGGCUUUCAGCUUAGAAAGAACAUGGGAAACUAGAAUCAACGACAACUUCAUUGACAAUGUCCUUUACAACAUAAUGCAGAAUUUAAAGAAUAACCAACGACUGUAUGCUUAAAAAUUGAAUUUACUUACCAAAGAUCUUAUAAUUUCUAUAAAAAAAUAUUUUUGAUAAAUUUUCUAACAAAUUUCGCUCUUCU